Non-coding RNA from Culex pipiens (northern house mosquito), 74 nucleotides. The record is from Rfam. NCBI's taxonomy places the organism in Eukaryota, Metazoa, Arthropoda, Insecta, Diptera, Culicidae.
GGCUCCGUGGCUUAAUGGUUACGGCUUCUGCCUCACAAGCAGAAGGUUCAGGGAUCAAAUCCCGGCCGGUACCU